This is a long non-coding RNA of Catharus ustulatus (Swainson's thrush), 1498 nucleotides long. RefSeq lists it as uncharacterized. The transcript is spliced from 4 exons. NCBI's taxonomy places the organism in Eukaryota, Metazoa, Chordata, Aves, Passeriformes, Turdidae. The record is from RefSeq and is a predicted model, not a curated record.
GCGCCGCGCUCCCUUACCGAUUCUUCCUCCUUCUCCAUCCCCGUGGGCAUCUGCGGCACGGCCCGGUUGAUGGAGACGCAGUCGUUGAGAAUCACAGAAUAUUUAGGGUUGGAAGGGAAUCUUUGGAGCCCAUCCAGUGCAGCCAGGGUCACACAUCCAGGUGGGUCUGGAAUGACUCUGGAGACUCCACGCUCUCCCUGGGAAUCUGUUCCUGUUCUCUGCUCCACUCAUGGAAAAUUCUUCCCCAUGCUGAGGUGGAAAUCCUCGUGGUUUAGUUUAUUAAACUCCUUCAUCACUCUUUCCAUCAAGAGCAAUAUCCUGCAACUUGGAACUUGGUAUUCCCAAAUUCUCACCUGGACAGAGUCUCCAUCCUCUGCCCAUCCAGAGUUUCCUGCAAGAGCUUCAUCAAAGACUCUUAGUACCUCAAAUAUCUCCUCACUUCCAUUUUAUUUUGACGCCCUGAGACCAAGCAGCUGCUUCUCUCACCUCCACCUUAGAGUUCUCACAGUGUCACCUUCUGAAAUAAACUGAAAUUCUUACUCAAAACUUCACUGUUUGGAUUACUGUGCCAACUGUACCUAAUUUCCAUUUUUUUUUAAUUAGAAAAAAGUAGGUUCAGUCUCUGAAUUGCCUUUUAUUUUUGGAACCUGUUGUGUUUUUUAUUUACGUGGUUUUGUAUAGCAAAUACAACUGCUGUUUGUGACAAACACAUGAUUAACAAAAUGAAGAAUAAAGAAUUGUGUCAGCUAGAGAGAGAGAGAAGGAAGAUGAAACAAGCACAGGAAUACACAGGAGGGGAAAAGAAACAGCAAGAACAUUGUGUUCAUCUGCCACAGACCCAAAUUAGCUUGGGAAAGAGAUCUGGAAAUUAUAUUAACUACUGCUAUGAAAACAUCAGAUUUCAGAAGGCAGAAUGAAGGACAUGCCAUAAAGGGGACUCUGAAAAACUGUCCCAGAAAAAAAAAUCAUUGAGAGAAGCAAGAACUUAUUUUCCUGGAAGUGAAAACGAGCUCUAUUUCUGCUGGGAGUUCAGAAUUGCUUCUCCUUCAAAAAGCCCUCAGAUGAUUAUGGUUUGAUGAGGCAGAAACUUCUGAAGGGGGAUGAGGAAAAUCCUGUUUGGUGCCUGGAAAGUCGCUUCCUCCCAGCACAGCCCCCCAGUCACUGUGGGUCCAAGGGAAGCAGAAACCAGCUGGGCAGAAAUUCUGUGGGUUUGUGACCCAAAGAAUCAAUUCCUCAGGUAUUUAGGGAAUUAUCAGUGAGGGAUUUUGCACUCACCUGCAGCCUGGAUGUGGCUGGAUAAUCCUUUGAUGCCCAUCCCAUCUGUACCUGGUUCACACCCCACAGCUCAGCCCAGGAUCACCACUGGGAUCAGCUCCUGCCUGUGCUUCCCUGGGAUUUCACACAGGAAUUCAUGGGGAUGCUCCUGCUCUUCCCUCCCUGCUUCAUGCAGUGGAAGUGAAAACCCUUCCCACUUCCCAGACCUUUCCCAAAGCAGGAA